Molecule: long non-coding RNA, 1201 nt
Filed under: Bemisia tabaci
Lineage: Eukaryota; Metazoa; Arthropoda; Insecta; Hemiptera; Aleyrodidae
Description: lncRNA ENSSSA1NGG000888
Source: RNAcentral
UGUACAGUCUUCAAAUAGAAAAUAAGUUUAAAUUGCAAUAUAUUUGUUGGUGUCAUUACGUUCAUAAUGAUUUAUGAGAAAAUUCAACUGUUGUUCGUAAAUAUGUUUCAAUGUAAGGAAUACCCCUUAAAAAUGUAUUCAUUUGUAAUGAAGGAUCGCACAUUUUGCAAGUACAUGUUUUCCACCUUCCUUUUCCCGUAUAUUUAUAAAGAACAAAAUUAAAAUUUAUCAGUCAACUUGAGCUAUUACAAAUGAAAUACUAAAAAGUAUAAAAAAUUGAUAUGUCUGAUAUUAACGAGGAUAUCAUACGUUUUUCAUUUUUAGAAUAUCAUAAUAUUCUAAUUUUCACAAAACCAGAUAAAUUAUUCCGGAUCUUUUGCGUAGAAAUUUGAAAAAAGCCUGAGGAGGUUUGAUUUUUUUUAGAUGUGGUUUUGCUUACUCCUUGCACUAAUUUAAAAGUAUGAUCCUUGAAUUCAGUCAAAAAUAACUUCGGCACGCAAAUUUAAAGCGGUGCCGCUUUAAGAAGUUUUAAGACAAGAUUCUAGAGAUUCUUUCAUUUUUUGAAAACUUCUAAAAUAACGGUAUGCUACAAUGUGACAACACUGCGAUUUAGAGAUUUUUAUCACAUCACUUACAUAAACGUCUCAUGUGAUAAAUGUGAACAUGAGAAUUGAGAACAGUGGUCAUCAGGAGUAACUGUGAGAAUGAAGUUGGUGAUAUUACGGGAUCACCAUGCGCCGGUAAGAAUUGCAUAAUUCAAAGUGACGACAUGGUCAAAUGACAAACUGAAACAUUUUCGAACUUUUUAAGAUGGAGAACAAAAAUCAUUCAUGGAUAUUGAAUCUUGCGUAAGACAAUUGAUAGCACGACAAUCUGUCAUUUGACCAUGAUCCUCGACAUUUGUCAAAACAUGUUUUUCUUGAUAGUGGUGGUUCUGCUCAGCGCUAAAAAUGCCAUCGGUGAUGAAAUAAACAUGCGACAAACUUGGGAAAAAGCUAGGAUUAAGCCUGAUGUGACGCGAUUUUCCCCUCAAAACCCUUUGCUCGAGUAUUACUUUUUUGAUAAAGUAAAAUUUGGAAAUCAGCUAUCACCGAAUACUGUAUUUAAUAUACCAACUUUACUCGACUGGCCUUUAUUAGCCGGACAUUUCUAUACUGUAAUGAUGAUUGAUCCUGAUGCUCCUCAUCCUAAAAUCCGAUAG